RNAcentral lists this ribosomal RNA (255 nucleotides) under uncultured bacterium. RNAcentral describes it as "partial 16S ribosomal RNA". It matches the Rfam family "Bacterial small subunit ribosomal RNA", at positions 524 to 776 of the family's 1533-position model. The record is from RNAcentral.
UACGAAGGGGGCUAGCGUUGCUCGGAAUCACUGGGCGUAAAGGGUGCGUAGGCGGGUCUUUUAAGUCAGGGGUGAAAUCCUGGAGCUCAACUCCAGAACUGCCUUUGAUACUGAAGAUCUUGAGUUCGGGAGAGGUGAGUGGAACUGCGAGUGUAGAGGUGAAAUUCGUAGAUAUUCGCAAGAACACCAGUGGCGAAAGGCGGCUCACUGGCCCGAUACUGACGCUGAGGCACGAAAGCGUGGGGAGCAAACAGG